Oncorhynchus tshawytscha (Chinook salmon) is the source of this 644-nucleotide long non-coding RNA. The record is from Ensembl. Lineage: Eukaryota; Metazoa; Chordata; Actinopteri; Salmoniformes; Salmonidae.
AUUUGUGUCUUUUUUUCAAUGAAAAAUAAUUGUUCUGAAAGCAACUUUUUUCCGACACAAAGGAAGUCAAAGCAGACACUUACGAAGAUGACAUCUCAGGUAAGCAGUAUUGACGAAUCCUAAAAAUUACAUUUGCUGCUUUGGAUUGAACAGUCAUAUCUCAGUUAUUGUUUUCAUAUCAUGAAAAAAUAAUGUAUUUACUUUCAGAGAGCGAGCUGAUCAAGGGGUCGAAAAUGUAGAUAUUGCCAGAUGUUCACUAUCCGAGGAACAAGCCGUGGAAGCUUUAUUGCUGGCAAAAGUGUCCAUAACCAGAGGUUAUAUCAGCUGUGUUGGUGAAGCCCUCCCGCAUCUGAACUGGCUAACACAGAGGGCACAGCAUGAUCAUAGGUAUGUUUUGAUGUGAGAGAGGAAGCCAGGUAUGUUUUGAUGUGAGCGAGGAAGCCAGUCCCAUCAUCGCCACCUCACAUCACGACUGGGAGCUCAAGGCUGGUUAGGAGACACAGCUAGAGGAACUAUGUAACAGUCUCACCCUCUAGAUGCCUUCCACAAGAACUUCAAGUAUAUUUCCUCCCCACCCUUUCUUCUAGAAAAAAAAACAGUCUGUGUUUUCUCAACUGAAAACUUGAAUCCCCACCUGAGGGACC